RNAcentral lists this ribosomal RNA (484 nucleotides) under uncultured bacterium. Its description in RNAcentral is "partial 16S ribosomal RNA". It matches the Rfam family "Bacterial small subunit ribosomal RNA", at positions 29 to 507 of the family's 1533-position model. The record is from RNAcentral.
AUUGAACGCUGGCGGCAUGCUUUACACAUGCAAGUCGAACGGCAGCGCGGGCUUCGGCCUGGCGGCGAGUGGCGAACGGGUGAGUAAUGCAUCGGAACGUGCCCAGUAGUGGGGGAUAGCCCGGCGAAAGCCGGAUUAAUACCGCAUACGACCUGAGGGUGAAAGCGGGGGACCGAAAGGCCUCGCGCUAUUGGAGCGGCCGAUGUCGGAUUAGCUAGUUGGUGGGGUAAAGGCUUACCAAGGCGACGAUCCGUAGCUGGUCUGAGAGGACGACCAGCCACACUGGAACUGAGACACGGCCCAGACUCCUACGGGAGGCAGCAGUGGGGAAUUUUGGACAAUGGGGGCAACCCUGAUCCAGCCAUGCCGCGUGAGGGAAGAAGGCCUUCGGGUUGUAAACCGCUUUUGUUCGGGAAGAAAUCCUCUGGGCUAAUACCCCGGGGGGAUGACGGUACCGGAAGAAUAAGCACCGGCUAACUACGUG